GAGAUUACAUAUGCAUAUAGUGUUAAUUCUAUAAAAAUGUAGUAUCAACUCACAAAGUUAUCAGGUUAAAUUAGCUUUAUCAAUGAAUAAAAAUGUUGUUGCAUGACCAAUGUCAUACCGUGGUCAAGCCACGGUAUCCAGUAAAAAUUAUUUUGCUGAGUAUCGUAGUAAAAGUUAAGAUAUGAUGUUAAGACUUUUUUUGAGUCGUGCAAUAACAUUAACAGCAAACUAUAAUACAAGUCUAUCUUUUUAAAAGUUUGUAUUGCUAGCU
This 271-nucleotide unclassified non-coding RNA is filed under the name uncultured Rickettsia sp. Lineage: Bacteria; Pseudomonadati; Pseudomonadota; Alphaproteobacteria; Rickettsiales; Rickettsiaceae. The record is from RNAcentral.